GACGAACGCUGGCGGCGUGCUUAACACAUGCAAGUCGAUCGGAAAGGCCCUGCUUUUGUGGGGUGCUCGAGUGGCGAACGGGUGAGUAACACGUGAGUAACCUGCCCUUGACUUUGGGAUAACUUCAGGAAACUGGGGCUAAUACCGGAUAGGAGCUCCUGCUGCAUGGUGGGGGUUGGAAAGUUUCGGCGGUUGGGGAUGGACUCGCGGCUUAUCAGCUUGUUGGUGGGGUAGUGGCUUACCAAGGCUUUGACGGGUAGCCGGCCUGAGAGGGUGACCGGCCACAUUGGGACUGAGAUACGGCCCAGACUCCUACGGGAGGCAGCAGUGGGGAAUAUUGCACAAUGGGCGGAAGCCUGAUGCAGCAACGCCGCGUGCGGGAUGACGGCCUUCGGGUUGUAAACCGCUUUCGCCUGUGACGAAGCGUGAGUGACGGUAAUGGGUAAAGAAGCACCGGCUAACUACGUG
Molecule: ribosomal RNA, 468 nt
Filed under: uncultured bacterium
Lineage: Bacteria
Description: partial 16S ribosomal RNA
Rfam family: Bacterial small subunit ribosomal RNA
Source: RNAcentral